GACGAACGCUGGCGGCGUGCUUAACACAUGCAAGUCGAACGCUGAAGCUCAGCUUUUGUUGGGUGGAUGAGUGGCGAACGGGUGAGUAACACGUGAGUAACCUGCCCCCUUCUUUGGGAUAACGCCCGGAAACGGGUGCUAAUACUGGAUAUUCACUGGUCUUCGCAUGGGGGUUGGUGGAAAGGGUUUUUCUGGUGGGGGAUGGGCUCGCGGCCUAUCAGCUUGUUGGUGGGGUGAUGGCCUACCAAGGCUUUGACGGGUAGCCGGCCUGAGAGGGUGACCGGUCGCAUUGGGACUGAGAUACGGCCCAGACUCCUACGGGAGGCAGCAGUGGGGAAUAUUGCACAAUGGGCGCAAGCCUGAUGCAGCGACGCCGCGUGAGGGAUGGAGGCCUUCGGGUUGUGAACCUCUUUCGCUCAUGGUCAAGCCGCAACAAUGGUUGUGGUGAGGGUAGUGGGUAAAGAAGCGCCGGCUAACUACGUG
RNAcentral lists this ribosomal RNA (483 nucleotides) under uncultured bacterium. RNAcentral's name for it is "partial 16S ribosomal RNA". It matches the Rfam family "Bacterial small subunit ribosomal RNA", at positions 28 to 507 of the family's 1533-position model. The record is from RNAcentral.